This is a long non-coding RNA of Homo sapiens (human), 4446 nucleotides long. Ensembl annotates it as cancer susceptibility 15. Its record names the gene CASC15. The record is from Ensembl. Lineage: Eukaryota; Metazoa; Chordata; Mammalia; Primates; Hominidae.
CUCACAGCUCCACGGCUGCAUCUCCGUGGGCACGCAAGCUUCCCCUGGUUACCUGAGCUGCUCCUGCCGUCUCCCGCCUGGGCUUCGCCGUGGUGCACCCGAUCCCGGAAUCGUGCGUCUGCGCCCUGCGAAAGAAGGACCUGCUGGCGGAGCUCCGGCCGGGGUCUCCUGCCUCGCAGCUGGGCGAGGGGACUUGGAGGACAGGGUGAAGCUGCAGAAGACCUGGGGUGGGAUGGCUAGAGAGGACGCCAAGGACUGGGGAAGGGGAAGUUAGGAAUACCUUACAUCCAAUGCCCACCCGUGCUCCGCAGGGCAAGGGCAGCCGUCGCCUCGGCCGCGUGCACCCAGCUCAGGCUGUUCCCAGGGAUUUAGUCUGGGGGGACAACCCAUGGCGAGAUGUGGUGGCAUUUUACCUCAGAGUGGAGCUGAAGAUGGAUAAACAAGGUAUCUGAUGUAUCUGCCUGAGAAGGCAGAGCUGGAGAAAGGCGGAGCGAGGGAGCGCGUGAAAAGAAAGAGAUGCCGAAUGCCGGGUGAUUGUCUGCCGCUUGCUGUGCAUUCUCAUUCUAGGGAGGAUGGCAUAAUUUAUAACCCAGCACAUGGAUAGAGGAACUGUAAAUUGUAGUCUGGAUGUCCCCGGCGCUGUCGACGAAGGAACUGAUGGGCUAGGCUCACAGGCAGAAGGAAUUUUCCUUGUCUUGGAUGAGACUUUUGACUUGGACUUUUGGGUUAAGGGCACCGAGGAAGAGAACCAAUGGCAGAGGCCACAUGUGCAAGCAAGAUGGGAGUCUGGAGAGCCUCAGGCUAAAUCACGAGUGCUCAGCCCUCUCCUCUUUGUAAGGGCAACCGGGUCAUAUCUGCCAGCAUAGAACUGCUCUGUCCACAGCCCUAAAAUCUAAUACCUAGAACAAUAAAUGCACUUAAGCACGUCAAACUCUCUCAACCAGUGAUGAAAUCUGUCACUAGCGAAGGGACUUGUCCCAAGGGAGCUGAACACCUGCCGCUGCACCCUGACAAUGUAUAAGAAACAAGCACCACUGUGGAUGCAGCCCCAGAGGCCUAGUGUCAUGGGGGUGCAAGGCCCUGCUUCAGGCUGGGGGCCUGGGGAGGGGCUGGUACCUCUCUACCUCCUGCAGCUCCUGUUCCUCUGGCUCCUGGUGAAAAUCUGGGUCUGAACCCAUAGCAAGUGAGGGCCACAAGGCUUCACCUUCUGAGAUGCAGCUAGAAGAAACAGCUGGUAUAAUAUAUGGUCAUGCACUACCUAACUACGUUUCCUCAACAUGGGACUGCAUAUAUGACAAUGGUCUGUCCCGUGAGAUUAUAAUAAAGCUGAAAAAUUUCUAUCACCCAGUCAUAUCAUAGCCAUAGUAAUGUCAAGGCCCAAGGUAUUGUGUGUCUGUGGUGAUGCCGGUGUAAACAAACUUGCCACACUGCCAGUCAUAUGAAUAGAGCACAAACAAUUAUGUAAUAUAUAGUACUUGAUCAAAAUACACAACUAUAUUUCUGGUUUAUGUAUUUACUAUACUAUACUUUUAAUCAUUAUUUUAGAGUGUACUCCUUCUGCAUCUAUGUGUCAACUGCAAAACAACCUCAGGCAGGUCCUUCAGGAGGUAUUCCAGAGGAAGGCAAUGUAAUCACAGAUGACAGCUCUAUGCAGGUUAUCACCCCUGAAGACCUUCUACUGGGACAAGAUGUGGAGGUAGAAGACAGUAAUAUUGAUGAUCCUGACCCUGUGUAAGCCUAGGCUAAUGCAUAUGUGUGCUGUGUCUUAGUUUUUACCAAAAAGUUUAAAAAGUAAAAUAAAAAUAGGAAAUAGCUUAUGGAAUAAGGAUAUAAAGAAACCAUUUUUGUACAGCUGUACAUGUGUUUGUGUUUUCAGCUGUGUUAUUACAAAAAGGUCAAACUUUAAAAAUAAACAAGUUUAUAAAGUAAAAAGAUUUCAGUAAAGUACAGUAAGGUUAAUUUAUGGUUGAAGAAAAACAUUUUAAAAAUAAAUUUAGUGUAGCCUAAGUGUCCAGUGUUUCUAAAGUCUACAGUAGCGUGCAGUCAUGUCCUAGGCCUUCACGUUCACUCACCACUCACUCACUGACUCACCCAGAGCAAAUUCCUGUCCUGCAAGCUCCAUUCAUGGUAAGUGCCCUACACAGGUGUACCAUUUUAACCUUUUACAUCAUAUUUUUAUUGUACUUUAAACAUAUCUACAUUUACAUGUUUAGAUACAUAGGUGUUUACCAUUGUGCUACAAUUGCCUAUGGUAUUCAGUACAGUAACACGCUGUACAGGUUUGUAGCCUAGGAGUGAUAGCCUAUACCAUACAGACUAGGUGUGGUAGGUUGUACCAUCUAGGUUUAAGUAAGUAUACUCUAUGAUGUUCCCACAACAACAGAAUUGCUGAAUGAAGCAUUUCUCAGAAUAUAUCCCCAUGGUUAAGCAACCAAUGAGUGUAUUUUCUGUCUACCUUUCACCUCCAUAAUAUAUAUAUUUUUCUACAUUUCUCAUGGUAGAGGGAAAGAGCAACAGGACUUCCAGAAAAAAAACUAAUGUGUCUUCAGACUUCUGCUUGUAUGUGGCUCAUGUUAUAUCUGAGCGUAUGCUACUGGACAAAGUGAGUCACAUAGCCAAGGCUUACAAUGGGAUGGGGAAGCAUACUUCAUUUCUGUGAAGGCACUCUAAGUCACAUGGCAUCAGUGGGGUCAUCUUGUUCUUUUAUAGUGAAGAGGGGAGUAAAUAAUAGAGGACAAUAAUACAGUCCACCAAAGAUACUGAGGCCAAUUAUAUCCAAAAAGCAAGAUCAGUUUGGUGGAAUGACUUACUAAUGCACUGAGAUGCCCAUAUGCCCAUAUUCCCUGCCAAACAGUCUAAAUGGAAAACUAGAAUCCUAAUUAAAAUGAGAAAAGGCGUGUCACAAAGCUUCCUUUAUUGUAGAGCAGUUGAGUUGUGAUGUUCGUUACUAGAUUUUUUUUAUUAGCCUGUUGUUAGUUGUAUGUAUGCCUUCUAUUUAUUAAGCACUUAUUAUGAGCCAAGCAUAGUAGUAAACCUUUUUCUGACCUUAUUUAAACCUAUCAACAGUCUCAAGUUGGAACUAGGUCUCUUUCCAUUUACAGAUAAAAAUAUUAAAGGACAGAAUAACUAAGCAACUUGCCCAAAGUCACAGGUCCCUGCUCUUAUCUGCUAUAUUUUCUUUCUCUAUUUUUCUUUUUCGUGUAAUACAGAAAGCCCAUGAUCAUCCUGAUGCCUCCUCUGUGUGGAUAUCGCAGGAAUGGCAACUUACGACCUUAUGAAGUAGUUUAUUCUAAUUUAGGGUAGCUCAAAUUACUAGAACAAAUAUUUAAUGGGCCUUUAAUCUUCUACCCCUAAAAUUUUUUCCAGUUGGUUCUAGUUUUAUCUUAUGGAGCUAAAUGUAUGGAAAAUGAUUCAAAGAACCUUCCUUCAAGUAGUAGAAAUCAUCUUCUAGAUUUUAUCUUUCCCAAUCUAAAAAUACAUUGUUGUUUCAACAAUUCCAUGAAUAACAUGGAUUGUGGAUUUUUAUCAUCCUGGUUACUUUUCUCUUGGACUGCCAAACAUUUAAGUGCGGAACAAGAACUGUCUGCAAUAAAACAUAAUGAAUGUUUAUGCUAAAUUUUUAAGCAUCGACAGCUUCUAUUCAACUGAUGUAUCUCAGAACACAAAAGAGUACUUGCUGUUUCGGGAAAUUUGGUUCCUGUCUCCUUCUCUGAUCUGAAUUGUUAUGUUGAUAAAUUUGCCAUAUUCUGCUGAAGAACAAAUUCUGGCAUCUUCACUGAGGAAUCAGUGUCUGCCUCUAAUACUUCUUUCUGUGAAAUCCUGACCUGAAGUCUCCUCUAUCAUCCCAAAGAUUUAAAAAAGAUUAAAGGUGAGGCAUGGGUUUCUCUGGCCUGCUUUGGUAAAUUUAUGUGCUCACAUAACUCAUUAAUUGUUUAGGUUUAAUUCAAGACAAAUACCUGCACGUUUAUGUUUGACACUAGUAUUUAUCAAAUCCCAAAGCUGAUCUGAACCCUAAACAAACCAUAUUCUUGGCAGCUCCUCCAAAUAACACACAUAGCAAAUAUAUUGACAUCAGUUGUACUUUAAAAUGUCAACUCUGCUUUUCCUUUUCUCAUGGUGCUAAUAAAAGAUUUUAUUUAAAAACGCUAAACUUGGGAAUGAAUGCCAAAUUCCUCUCUUACCAUUCAGUAGGUCUUUUCCUGUUUUAGGUGUAGGCUAUGGAUUAUUUCAUUUGACCUUCUUGCUGUUUACCUGGUUAUAAUAUGUGAAAAUACAAAAUUUAAAGUCUCCAUUAUGCUAUGGGAACGUAAAACUUUUUUAUUUUUUAAGAGAAUCUGUAAAUAUGUACAUUUCAGAGCUACCACAACUAGAAUUAUCUUUACUGUUAAUUAAUUAAUCAAAAAUAUGGUGGACAUUAUUAACAAUAAGCCCUGAAGCAACAUUUUU